Archocentrus centrarchus (flier cichlid) is the source of this 239-nucleotide long non-coding RNA. RefSeq lists it as uncharacterized. The transcript has 3 exons. Lineage: Eukaryota; Metazoa; Chordata; Actinopteri; Cichliformes; Cichlidae. The record is from RefSeq and is a predicted model, not a curated record.
AGGUUUCAGACGUGUCGCUGCUGGAUGUGAGGAUGGGACCCACUUUGCUCUGUGAGCUGGGCCUAUUCUUGCUCUGUACGCUCCUCUGCACUGGACACGCUCAAGAUGCUGUGUUAACUAUUGAACCCAACUGGUCCAGUUUUUUCAUUGGAGAGUUUGUUACCUUCAUGUGUGACAUGAAUGAAGGAGCAGACACUGACUGGUAUUACACACUCAACAAGGAUGGUCGAGAAUAUGUC